UACGUAGGGUGCAAGCGUUGUCCGGAAUUAUUGGGCGUAAAGAGCUCGUAGGCGGUCUGUCGCGUCGGCUGUGAAAACCCGGAGCUCAACUCCGGGCCUGCAGUCGAUACGGGCAAACUGGAGUGUUGCAGGGGAGACUGGAAUUCCUGGUGUAGCGGUGAAAUGCGCAGAUAUCAGGAGGAACACCGGUGGCGAAGGCGGGUCUCUGGGCCGAUACUGACGCUGAGACGCGAAAGCGUGGGGAGCAAACAGG
This 253-nucleotide ribosomal RNA is filed under the name uncultured bacterium. Its description in RNAcentral is "partial 16S ribosomal RNA". It matches the Rfam family "Bacterial small subunit ribosomal RNA", at positions 524 to 776 of the family's 1533-position model. The record is from RNAcentral.